Molecule: non-coding RNA, 406 nt
Organism: Pygocentrus nattereri (red-bellied piranha)
Lineage: Eukaryota; Metazoa; Chordata; Actinopteri; Characiformes; Serrasalmidae
Source: the annotation of a RefSeq genome assembly
UCUCUGAAGAUCAGUCACGAUGUUCCUCUGUCUCUUGGUGAUCUUAAUUCAGCUUAAAGAAAAUACUGCUGCAGUUGGAAUACAGCCACUCGUCUUUGAAAAGCAUGUUUUGGAGGGAGCAGAUGUGACUCUGUCCUGUAACUACAGUGCAGCUACAGGAGACACCUUCCAGUGGUAUCGUCAGUAUCCUGGAUCCAGACCAGAAUUCCUCCUUUUUUUCAAUGAGCACAAUAACGUAUCUGAACCGGCUCUUCGUCUGACAGCAGGGGCAAAUAGACCAGUGAAAUUUGUGGAUCUGAACAUCUCUCGUACUGCAAUGUCAGACUCUGCACUGUACUACUGUGCUCUGGUGCCCACAGUUACAGGAAACUCAGCUACACUGUACAAAAACACAAAGAACCUUUGA